AAGCCAUGCAUGCCCGCGCACCCGGGAGGCGGCGGACGGCUCAGGACAACGGUUGCACCCCCCGCGGCGGUCCCUGCUAGCCGGACACCGCUGGCAACCCGGCGCCAAGACGUGCGCGCAAGGGCGGGCGCCCGCGGGCGAGCAGCGUGACGCAGCGACGGCCCGCCCGGGCUUCCGGGGCAUCACCCGGUCGGCGCGGUCGCGGCGCGCCGAGGGCCCGACG
RNAcentral lists this ribosomal RNA (223 nucleotides) under Giardia duodenalis. RNAcentral's name for it is "Giardia intestinalis partial 18S ribosomal RNA". The record is from RNAcentral. Lineage: Eukaryota; Fornicata; Diplomonadida; Hexamitidae.